This is a long non-coding RNA of Piliocolobus tephrosceles (Ugandan red Colobus), 238 nucleotides long. RefSeq lists it as uncharacterized. The transcript is spliced from 2 exons. Lineage: Eukaryota; Metazoa; Chordata; Mammalia; Primates; Cercopithecidae. The record is from RefSeq and is a predicted model, not a curated record.
UGCGUGACAUGGAAGGUGAUCUGCAAGAGCUGCGUCAGUCAAAGACCGGGGUUAAAUCUGGAUUUGGGUGCUGGCAUCAAAGUGAAGAUUAUACCCAAAGGAGAACACUGUAAAAUGCCAGAAGCAGGUGAAGGGCAACCACAAGUUUAAAUGAAGACAAGCUGAAACGACGCAAACUGGUUUUAUAUCAGAUAUUUGACUUAAAGUAUCUCAAUAAAGUUUUGCAGCUUUCACCAAA